UACGUAGGGGACUAGCGUUGUCCGGAUUUAUUGGGCGUAAAGAGCGCGUAGGCGGCCGAGUAAGUCCGACGUGAAAUCUGGAGGCUCAACCUCCAGCGGUCGUUGGAAACUACUCGGCUAGAGUCCGGAAGAGGAGAGUGGAAUUCCUGGUGUAGCGGUGAAAUGCGCAGAUAUCAGGAAGAACACCCGUGGCGAAAGCGGCUCUCUGGAACGGUACUGACGCUGAGACGCGAAAGCGUGGGGAGCGAACAGG
Molecule: ribosomal RNA, 253 nt
Filed under: uncultured bacterium
Lineage: Bacteria
Description: partial 16S ribosomal RNA
Rfam family: Bacterial small subunit ribosomal RNA
Source: RNAcentral